UACGUAGGGGGCAAGCGUUGUCCGGAUUCAUUGGGCGUAAAGAGCGUGUAGGCGGCCAGGUAGGUCGGUUGUGAAAACUGGAGGCUCAACCUUCAGACGUCGACCGAAACCAUCUGGCUAGAGUCCGGGAGAGGAGAGUGGAAUUCCUGGUGUAGCGGUGAAAUGCGCAGAUAUCAGGAGGAACACCGGUGGCGAAGGCGGAUCUCUGGGCCGAUACUGACGCUGAGGAGCGAAAGCGUGGGGAGCGAACAGG
RNAcentral lists this ribosomal RNA (253 nucleotides) under uncultured bacterium. RNAcentral describes it as "partial 16S ribosomal RNA". It matches the Rfam family "Bacterial small subunit ribosomal RNA", at positions 524 to 776 of the family's 1533-position model. The record is from RNAcentral.